This 448-nucleotide ribosomal RNA is filed under the name uncultured bacterium. RNAcentral describes it as "bacterial SSU rRNA". It matches the Rfam family "Bacterial small subunit ribosomal RNA", at positions 29 to 524 of the family's 1533-position model. The record is from RNAcentral.
AACGAACGCUGGCGGCAGGCUUAACACAUGCAAGUCGAACGCCCCGCAAGGGGAGUGGCGCACGGGUGAGUAACGCGUGGGAAUAUGCCCUUCGGUUCGGAAUAACACAGGGAAACUUGUGCUAAUACCGGAUACGAUCUACGGAUGAAAGAUUUAUCGCCGAGGGAGUAGCCCGCGUAGGAUUAGCUAGUUGGUGAGGUAAUGGCUCACCAAGGCGACGAUCCUUAGCUGGUCUGAGAGGAUGAUCAGCCACACUGGGACUGAGACACGGCCCAGACUCCUACGGGAGGCAGCAGUGGAGAAUAUUGGACAAUGGGCGAAAGCCUGAUCCAGCCAUGCCGCGUGAGUGAUGAAGGCCUUAGGGUUGUAAAGCUCUUUCGCCAGGGAAGAUAAUGACGGUACCUGGAAAAGAAGCCUCGGCUAACUCCGUGCCAGCAGCCGCGGUAAU